This is a long non-coding RNA of Gavialis gangeticus (Gharial), 793 nucleotides long. RefSeq lists it as uncharacterized. The record is from RefSeq and is a predicted model, not a curated record. NCBI's taxonomy places the organism in Eukaryota, Metazoa, Chordata, Crocodylia, Gavialidae. The transcript is spliced from 2 exons.
GUGUUUACUUUCAUUUCCCAUUGCAGCACCUCAUGCCUCAGAAAAUGGCUUGGCGGGCCACAUCAUAUGUUGGACAAGCCGGUCUUAAACAGCCCUAUAGCUCAGGAAGAAGAAAAGUCCCGUUAUACCCAUGAGAGGAAAACAAGGCACAAGAGUCAUUGGUGAAAGCUCCAAAUGCUCCACCUACAACAUUCAGAAAAACAGGACAAGAAACACCAUGGACAAUUUUUUUGCCUACCAGUCACACAGACACUUUCAGUCCAUCAUUACUAAUCAGAAACAAAUGAUACAUUCAGCAUGUAACCAUGUUAAGGGCUAAAGAUCGAAGUCCCUUCUUUUUCACCCUUUAAAGCAUUUGUCUUAGAAACAGAAGGAGUGUAUUUGUUACUGGAUAGUACAUGACAAAAGGGCAAAUAUCCCGUGAUGCGUGCUGUUCAGGAGAAAUGUGUCUGCUCUCCCAUGUGUGGUCUUCUUGAUAUAAAACCUUGAAGCAGAUGCUUUGUUAUCAUUAUCCUCUUUGAUAACAGCUACUGAAUUUGCUACAACAUAACUUCCAUGUGGUGGUGAGAAUCUGUCAAUAGUCCAGAGAAGUAGUUCAAAUGAGCUUCCGAAUGUUUAGAUCUACAUUGCUGGGAUUCUGCUGCAUCUUUAAGAUAACAUCUUUGGCUAGCCCCAAGAGAAAUGAAGAGAUUGAGCUGUAAUCAGUCUGCCCCUCUCUUGGAUUCAGUAAACACUUUUCUUGAAUACUUUACUAAUGCACACACAAAAUAAAAAUCCCCACCUUUCCUUAUAA